AAGGUUUUGCUUAGUUGAUUUUAGUUAGUGCUUUAGCUUUACUAGACAAUUUCCAAUUUUACAAUGUUGCUUUCUUAUAGAUUACUCAUAUAAGGGGCUAAUACUUAGCUACAUGUGUUCUUCCUAACUGUUUGUGUUUGUGAGAUAGGAAGAAAAAGGUCUUUAGUGUUUGUGAGAAUACAUGUCUAUUGAAAGAAGAAGCACUUAGCUAUUUUGUUUCCUAAUGGUGCUAUAUAAAAUUAGGGCUAAAUCAUAAAUUGAUAAUCAAAGCUAAGCUACUCUACCUUAACCAUUAUUUCCUUAAAAAAGUAUCUCACGGGAUACUCACAAAGAGAUCAAGAUGUGGCCAUAUAAUUUCUGAUAAUCAAAUACUUAAAAAGAUCCACAACAUGCUUUCAUGGAUAUCAGAUAUAUCCAAGAAAGUCCGCAUUGUACUCACUAAUUUGUAACAGCCCAACCCGCUAGUGAUAUUGUCCGCUCCGGGCCUAGGCCCUCAUGGGUUUAAAACGCGUCACUAGGGUUUAAGACUUGUUAACUUAUAUACCUAGCAUCCCUCUUGUGUUUUGCAGAUGUGAGACUCUGUCUAAAGCUUGGGGUGUUACAUACACCCCUCUUAUGGACUCAGCGUCCUCGCUGAGGUUUGCCCCACCGCAUGGGAUUUGCCUAGACUCAGCACUGAGGUUUGCCCCGCCUAACCGGGAUUUGCCUAGACUCAGUCGAACUCUGACCCAUCAUUGGUAUGGCUGAUACAAGAGUGGCUCUGAUACCAUCUGUAACAGUCCAGCCCGCUAGAUUUGCCUGAACUCAGUUGAACUCUGACCCACCAUCAGCAUGGCUGACACAAGAGUGACUCUGAUACCAUUUGUAACAGCCCAACCCGCUAGUGAUAUUGUCCGCUCCGGACCUACGCCCUCACGGGUUUAAAACGCGUCACUAGGGUUUAAGGCUUGUUAACUUAUAUACUCAGCAUUUCUCUUGUGUUUUGCCAAUGUGGGACUCCGUCUAAAGCUUGAGGUGUCACAUAUUGAUCGAUAAAUUACUUUGUUCUUUUGUGAUUGCGGUUUAUUUUCGUUGCAAACACUACCAUUUACUAUGCAUACUAUUGUAAUGUAUUUGUUAUAACAAUCCCAGCUUAUUUUGGGUUUGUGGAUAUAAUUUAUACCAAUAUCAACUGGCUCCCAUCGAACCGAUAUCUUUCUUUAGCUGUACCCGGAGGUGGAUCCUCAUUUCUUUUGGUAGCAUCAAAGACCAAAGAACAAUUUUUUAGCAUGACAUACAAAUGGUGAUUUCUUUUAAUCUUUGAGA
RNAcentral lists this long non-coding RNA (1305 nucleotides) under Nicotiana benthamiana. RNAcentral describes it as "long non-coding RNA (NBEN_LNC015052)". The record is from RNAcentral. Lineage: Eukaryota; Viridiplantae; Streptophyta; Magnoliopsida; Solanales; Solanaceae.